Apis florea (little honeybee) is the source of this 2791-nucleotide unclassified non-coding RNA. NCBI's taxonomy places the organism in Eukaryota, Metazoa, Arthropoda, Insecta, Hymenoptera, Apidae. The record is from RefSeq and is a predicted model, not a curated record.
CAGCAGAUUUCCUUGAGUUUUAAGAACAGAUGCACCGGUGGUGGUCGAAGGGUGGGGGCGGUGCGAUGGUGGAGGCACUCGCCAGUCCAGGGCCCACUUGUUCGACGAUCGUCUUGUCACUCGAAAGUGCGUUACCAUUCUGGCAACAUCGGGUUCAUGUGUCUAUUUCUUGUCCAAUCUUGUGCUCUUUCAUUGUGUCAGUAUUUUACAAUUCAUCUGCUUCAUCAAUUCAUGAACUAUUCAAAUCUUAUUUUAUUCCUUAUUAUUGUGUGGAAGUGUAAACUAAGUGACUUUGGACAUUUAAGUGCAUUCUGAAUAUGAUAUAAUAAAAAGAAUGCUUUAAAAAAAUUAUAAAAAAUAGAAUAGAUUAUUUCUUCUUUUAUGAAUUUAUUAUAUAUUAAAAAAAAAUGCCUACGGAAACGUUUUCAAGAGAGUUAGAUGCUCAUAUUGUGACCUUACUUACGAGGAUCUCUUCGUUAAAGGAAAAUAAUACAGAACUCUUAGAGAAGAAAGCGCCUAUGUCUAUAGAAGCUCGCAGCUUAGAACUUUGGAGAGCAGUGGCUGUCGAGUGUUUCGCUACUUUUCUUUUCAGUCUUAUCGUAUCUGGCGCAGCUGCGUCUUCCGCGGUUUCUGGAAGCGGACUUUCCGUCUUAGCCACUGCUGUAGCAUCCGGCUUUGCAAUUUCGGCAAUCUGCUUCAUCUUUGGUCAUAUCAGUGGUAGUCACGUGAAUCCAGCUGUCUCAGUGUCUUUCGCUUUAUGUCGACGAAUCUCUCUCCUACGAGCUGCUCUCUAUAUUGCUGCACAGUGUGGAGGUGGUAUAGCCGGUGCUGCAAUGCUGUACGGGGUAACCACUCCUUCCAACACGCAGACUUUGACUUCCCUAGGUCGUCUCGGAGGACCUAUUGAGAGGCUUCUUGUAGAAUUGACGCUUUCGGUGCUUAUAGUUCUCGCCCAUUUCACGUCAGAAUCCACGAAAACGUUGCCAAUGUUAGUUUCUUCAAAACCAGCCGGUGUAUUGGCCGCGGCCUACACGGCGGCUACUUUAGUUUCAAGCCCGUUUUUAAAUCCCGCCCGGGCGCUUGGGCCGGCGUUCGUGAGCAACCGUUGGGACAACCACUGGGUUUACUGGGUGGGCCCGUUGUCGGGAAGCGCGGUAGCGGCCCUCCUCCACGAAUACGUUCUGAAUUCCAAACGGUCCAGGGAUCCACGGGAUAUGGACGACGGGGAUAAUUCGUCAAUGAGAUCCGACGAGGACACUUACGACGAUUUGGACAAACCGUCCGGCCCAAAAUUCUCGAGCGCUUACGCGACUUAUCGGCCGGUCGCCGGAGCGUCCUCGUCGAUCUACAGCGCUCCCCCCACUGCCUUGGAACGCGUCGAAUCCAUUUACGGUGGGACGAAAUCCCUCUAUUGUAAGUCACCACCCUUGACCAGGGCGAAUCUGAACCGUUCGCAAAGCGUGUACGCGAAAUCGAGUUCCGGGACGCGGGACGGCCUGAUGAUCCCAAAACCGGGCCCCUUGGCCCCCGCGCAGAGCUUGUACCCGAUCAGGAUAGGGCAGACCGGGUCGGGCUCGGGCAGGGAGAGCCAACAGCAAAAUGGUCAAAAUCAAAAUUCUCAAAAUCACAACAGCACGAAUCAGAACAUGCAAAAUCAAUUGCAACAGUGCACGCAAAGUAUUUACGGGAUCAGAGGGAUCUCCACAACUCUCAGUACAAGGGAGAACGGUAUCUACGGCGUGACCACGGGGUCCAGUAUAUACGGGAGGGCUCCAGCCCCUCCUCCGAGCAGUCAAAAUUCUCAACAAUCGGGUUCGAACGUCCAGCCUUCGGCCCAAAAUCAUCAUCAGCAGCAGCAACAGCAGCAGCAGCAGCAACAGCAGCAGCAACAACAUCAGAAUGGAACAUUAUCCAGCAACUCGGACAACGCGGUGAACUCUAGAAGACCGGAAAGUAUGUACGGGCACGUCUCUAGACGAAGUGACGAUUCUGCGUAUGGUAGUUAUCAAGGAUCGACGCGAGGGAAUUAUGGAAAGAUACCUGGACCUCCUGGAUCAACAGGACCCUCUAACGGGUCAACCGGCCCUCCCCAGUAUCGCGAGCAAGGAAGGCCUAGUCCAGCUGGGCCGUUGCAACAAAAUCAACAAAAUAGUUUCCAAAGAAAUUCGCCAAAUCCUCAAUACUGACUGUAAAUUUCAUAAAUUUGGUGAUAAAUAAUUGGUGUAAGAUGUAUGGUAAAGAUGGUGGACACGUCUGCUGCUGUACUACCUACCUUUAUGAAGAGUUAUUCAGAGUUGUUGAAUAAAAAUGGAUAUGAUAAAUUUUUGUUUUAGGAACAAAAGGAGAUAUCGCAGUGCCAUUUUAUAUAUUGUUAUCAAAGAAUGUAGAGGACAAUUGCAGAAAAUGCUUGAUACCGAAGUUGUCAUGUUCCACGGAUCUUGGAAUAAUAUUGUAAUUAUAUUCAUCAAUUUCUUCAAAGUGAGAGUGCAGGAUUUAGCUGAGGUUUUUUCUAGUAGCAAUUUUUAAUAUAUUAUAUUUUAAAAAACUUAUUAUAAAGUCAGUACAUAUUUACAAUUAUUAUGUAAAAUAAUUUAAUGUAAUAGGAAAAUGUAACGAAUAUUCAUCGAAGAAUAUAGAAAUCGAUAGAACUCAAUACAAGUAUUUUGUAUAUAUAUAUUAAAUUUUAUAUUUAUUAUUUUUAUUGUAGAUUAUAGAAAUGUAGAAUUAUUGUUACAUUCAUUUUGUGCAUGGAAGUAGGAAAAAAACUUGACAAUAAACGACUUAAAAAAAU